This is a transfer RNA of Camelus ferus (Wild Bactrian camel), 73 nucleotides long. It matches the Rfam family "tRNA". Rfam says of the family: Transfer RNA (tRNA) molecules are approximately 80 nucleotides in length. Their secondary structure includes four short double-helical elements and three loops (D, anti-codon, and T loops). The record is from Rfam. NCBI's taxonomy places the organism in Eukaryota, Metazoa, Chordata, Mammalia, Artiodactyla, Camelidae.
GAGGGUAUUGCUCAAGUGGUAGAGUGCGUGCUUAGCAUGCAUGAGGUCUUAGGUUCAUUCCCCAGUACCUCCC